GCCCCACUCUAGCCCAACUAGCCAAAAACUAGACAUUUAAGUAACAAAAGUCUAUAACUUCACCAAACUAAAACAUUCUCAUACCCCAGUAUGGGCGACAGAAAAGGUUAAUCUAAUGAUUGGCGCUAUAGAAAUUAAUGUACCGUAAGGGAAAGAUGAAAUAAAAAUGAAAACCCAAGCCACAAAUAGCAAAGAUUAACCCUUGUACCUUUUGCAUCAUGAUUUAGCAAGAAUUAACCAGGCUAAAUGAAUUUAAGCCCGCCGCCCCGAAACCCAAGCGAGCUACCCGCGAGCAGCUGUUUACGAGCAAACCCGUCUCUGUUGCAAAAGGGUGGGACGACUUGCUGGUAGUGGUAAAAAGCCAACCGAGCUGGGUGAUAGCUGGUUACCUGUAAGAUGAACCUAAGUUCCCCCCUGAUUGUUCUCAGUGCAGGCAACUUACUUUCUAACCUUGCUGUAGCUAUCAGGAGAUACUUAAAGGAGGUACAGCUCCUUUAAAAAAGAAUACAAUCUCCACAAGAGGAUAACCUUAUAAGCACUACUACAUCUGUAGGCCUUCAAGCAGCCACCAACAAAGAGUGCGUCAAAGCUCUCCACCUAAAAAAUUUAUAAACCAAUAUGACUCCCUCCACAUUAACAGGUUAAUCUAUCAGCCUAAUAGAAGAACUAAUGCUAAAAUAAGUAACUAGGGACCCUCCCUCUAAGGCGCAAACUUACAUCCUACAUUGUUAACAGACCCACUAAUACUCACAACCCAACAAGACCCGGUAUCAAAUCUACUGUUGACCCAACUCAGGAGCGCCCCUAAAAGGAUUAAAAUCUGUAAAAGGAACUAGGCAAACCCAAGGCCCGACUGUUUACCAAAAACAUAGCCUUCAGCUAGCCAAGUAUUGAAGGUGAUGCCUGCCCAGUGACCCAUGCUUGUUUAACGGCCGCGGUAUCCUAACCGUGCAAAGGUAGCGCAAUCAAUUGUCUCAUAAAUCGAGACCCGUAUGAAUGGCUAAACGAGGUCUUAACUGUCUCUUACAGAUAAUCAGUGAAAUUGAUCCCCCUGUGAAAAAGCAGGGAUAACCACAUAAGACGAGAAGACCCCGUGGAACUUCAAAAUCAGCAGCUACUCGUCAUUCUACGACCCCCUAACCCAGGUUCACCCCUAGACAUAUUAGCCUGUAUUUUUUGGUUGGGGCGACCUCGGAGAAAAACAAAUCCUCCAAAAACAAGACCACAUCUCUUAACCAAGAUCAACACCUCAACGUGCUAAUAGCAACCAGACCCAAUAUAAUUGAUUAAUGAACCAAGCUACCCCGGGGAUAACAGCGCAAUCUCCUUUAAGAGCCCAUAUCGACAAGGAGGUUUACGACCUCGAUGUUGGAUCAGGACAUCCUAAUGGUGCAGCCGCUAUUAAGGGUUCGUUUGUUCAACGAUUAACAGUCCUACGUGAUCUGAGUUCAGACCGGAGUAAUCCAGGUCGGUUUCUAUCUAUGACUAACCUCUUCUAGUACGAAAGGACCGAAGAAGUAAGGCCAAUGUUACACCCAUGCCUUCCCCUCAAGUAAGGAACACAUCUCAACUACCAAGAGGCUACCUACCCAUAUAUCCUAGAAAAGGAUGCUUUAGCUAGCGUGGCAG
RNAcentral lists this ribosomal RNA (1629 nucleotides) under Pharomachrus auriceps. RNAcentral describes it as "16S ribosomal RNA". It matches the Rfam family "Bacterial large subunit ribosomal RNA". The record is from RNAcentral. Lineage: Eukaryota; Metazoa; Chordata; Aves; Trogoniformes; Trogonidae.